Long non-coding RNA from Maniola jurtina (meadow brown), 136 nucleotides. RefSeq lists it as uncharacterized. The record is from RefSeq and is a predicted model, not a curated record. NCBI's taxonomy places the organism in Eukaryota, Metazoa, Arthropoda, Insecta, Lepidoptera, Nymphalidae. The transcript has 3 exons.
UACAUGUAAAAUAAGACCGUUAGUAAAUAAAUAUAAGCGUUUAGCGGCAAAAUUUGUACACCAAUGAAACUUUGUAUAAUAACUUUAUCUUGCCACUAGAAAUGAGGAUCUGCUGAUCAUUUGUCUAGUUUGAAAA